Molecule: unclassified non-coding RNA, 213 nt
Filed under: plant metagenome
Description: partial contains small subunit ribosomal RNA, internal transcribed spacer 1, and 5.8S ribosomal RNA
Source: RNAcentral
UUUCCGUAGGUGAACCUGCGGAAGGAUCAUUCAUAAUAAGUGUUUUAUGGCACUUUUUUAAAUCCAUAUCCACCUUGUGUGCAAUGUCAGGGUUGAUUUUUCUCUUGAGAGGAUCAGCCCCAAACAUCAACUAUAUCUCAACUCUUUGUCUGAAAAAUAUUAUGAAUAAAACAAUUCAAAAUACAACUUUCAACAACGGAUCUCUUGGCUCUC